UACGUAGGUCCCGAGCGUUGUCCGGAUUUAUUGGGCGUAAAGCGAGCGCAGGUGGUUCAUUAAGUCUGGUGUAAAAGGCAGUGGCUCAACCAUUGUAUGCACUGGAAACUGGUAGACUUGAGUGCAGGAGAGGAGAGUGGAAUUCCAUGUGUAGCGGUGAAAUGCGUAGAUAUAUGGAGGAACACCGGUGGCGAAAGCGGCUCUCUGGCCUGUAACUGACACUGAGGCUCGAAAGCGUGGGGAGCAAACAGG
This 252-nucleotide ribosomal RNA is filed under the name uncultured bacterium. RNAcentral describes it as "partial 16S ribosomal RNA". It matches the Rfam family "Bacterial small subunit ribosomal RNA", at positions 524 to 776 of the family's 1533-position model. The record is from RNAcentral.